Rhopilema esculentum is the source of this 22839-nucleotide non-coding RNA. The record is from RefSeq and is a predicted model, not a curated record. Lineage: Eukaryota; Metazoa; Cnidaria; Scyphozoa; Rhizostomeae; Rhizostomatidae.
CAACUGAUUUUUCACGUAUGUUUUCCUCCAUACCUGGUUUCGACACUAAAAACACCAAAACCUUUCUUCGAUGAGACGCUGUACCUUCAGUCCGCAAACCAAAACAAGAUGAGGAACUUAGCAAGCGUGAAAAGCGCAUGCUCAUAAAAGGAACAAACAUUUCUCAUCGACCAUCGACUACAGAGGACACAGAAUUAUCGGAUGUUGCAUCCACCUCGACUGCCGUAGUAGAUAUGGAAAGCUGGAUAAGCGACACCGUUCCAAUUGACGAUGACGAGUCAGACCAAAAAGAGCGUGAUUUUUGGAUUGAAUGCACAAUCAAAAAGUGCAGCUCAUGCUCUCGUAAUGCCAGAAAGCUGAAUACAGCAACCAAGAAAAUCUUACGUCUAGUUGGCAAAAUUGCAUACUCGGGAAGGAAAUGGUAAUUUGUCUUAUUUCUUAUUUCAUUAGUGUUCUGUCUCAAAUUGUGCUGCAACAACUAUUUUGCUUCAGCUUGGUGAAUUAAUUUUUUAUAUUAUAACUCAGAUAGUCCAUCCAAAGCUAGACGAGUAGUAUACAAAGACAUUUCAAUGACCCGACAUGAAGAAAUAUUUGGCGACGACGAAGUUAGAGAAGAAAUCGGGGAUGAAGAAUUUUUUGACGAGGGUGCACACAGCGAGGGAAUCGAAACUGAUACUGAUGAUGAUGAAGACAGUUCAAAACAUAUCAGGCAAGACUACCUUUAAUGCUGUGUAAAUAAAAAAAAUAAUGUGACACGUGACUCAUAAAACUACAUUUGUUAAAAGACAUGAUAAUUUAACUAGUCUAAUCUAAUCAUCUAAUCAUCAUGUUUUUGUUUAGAAAAACAUUGCUUCAUCAAAUUUUUGCUGUCGGAAGUUCACAUUCAACCGCUGUAGGAGUACUGCAAAUUUGUGUGCCUAACCACUGAUUUUGAUUUAUUAUGGACAUUUAACAAAAAUGCUGAAUUCAUAUACGUUCCUUCAAAGAUGUAUGUUUAUAAUGAAGCAUUAAUAAAACAGUUUGAAAAAAAAGAAACAGGAUGUGCUUAACUUUGUUAAUCAAACAUAUAGUGUGCACUGAACUGUGUCACACAAACUAGUGGAGUGCAAUAUUAUACAAUAUAUAAAUAUUUAUAAUUCGUUGUAAAAUCUAUUUGCUGCAACUUUCCAAAAUAAUUAGCCAAUGAUGCUAUUGGCAAGUAUUCUGAAGAGAUAGUGUAAUUUAUUCAUUUUUCUUGCUAUCUUUUAGAGUUGAUGAUAAUGUACCCAUUCAGAAAGAACCACAGUUUGUUGCUUUCUAUAGCAUGCUAGUUGCACUUUUCUCCAUGUUUUGGUUCAAAUGUAAAGAUGGGAAACCAACUGUGCAAAUGAAGAAAAAUGGAACAAUGGUGACCAUUUACCAAAGCUGUUCAACAUGUGGGCCAAAAUCUUUCAAAUGGCAAUCACAGCCGUUUCUUGUUGGUCGUCAUCCUGCUGGGAAUGUUCUGUUGAGUUGCGCUAUUCUUGCUGCUGGUGCAUCUGUCAGCAAAGUAUUACUUGUUUUCAAGCAUAUGGGGCUCUCUGCAAUUUCAGCAAGAACCUUUUUUCGGCAAUUUCAGCAAGAACCUAGUCAUUAAAAUGAUUAGCAAAUUCGAAUUCAAAACCAUAAUAAUCAACAUUUUGUAUAGACUUGAAAUUUUGAACAAUCAUUUAAGGGGGGAAGGGGGAACCUUACAAUCAUGUGCAUAUGACACUCUGUAGGACUUGGAUGGCCACAUAUAAUCAAACUUUUUCAUUUUAAUUACAUUUGCAUUUACAUAUUUCGUUUGUGUUCUCGGUAUAAGUUACUUCUUGGAUUAUAAAAUCAUAUUUUAUUUAGCAAUAGAGCUAAGUAUUAACUAAAUAUAUCGUCAAUAAUCUGUAACCUUAUAUAUAUAUACUAAUAAUUUGUAGUGAAAUAUGUAUUUGAUAUUGUGUUUGUCUAAUCUGUUUUGGAGGCCAAGGAAUCAGGCUGCAUUCUAUAUACUGGUUCUGGGAAUUGUCUCCAACUCCAACAAGAAAGUCAUUUGAAAGUCGCAGUUUUGCAGACCUUUUAUUGAAAUAAGACUUGAUGGAAUGUAACAAGUAUUCAGGCAACAAAGGAAGAGUUAUUUCAUUGGAAGCAGCAUUAUUUAUUGCAUUUUAACUUAGUGUUGUUUUAAUAUGUAAAAUUGAAAAAAAGAAAGAAUGACAUUUAUCUCUACCCAUCAGUUGUUUUUAUUUGUAAAUGAAACUUAAAUACUCACCUAAUUCUGGACCUAAAUAGUCCAUUGGCAGUAAAACUUAAGGCAAUUAGCAAACGCCCGAUUUCAAACUAAAUCCAAAGACAGUAGACUCGUCCUUACUUUCAAGCAAUUUGUGUAUGGUAUUGUCACAGAAUUCUGAAGUGUAUUUAUAUCGUGAACGUCAUAGAAUGGUGGCAGCUCAACGCACGCCGCUUGUCCGCAUUUUCCAUCAUGCCUCGUAAUGGUUGCUUUGUUCCACUGCCCAAUCAGAGAGGUGAGCAAUUCCAUGAUCUAGCAAUAUGUUUCCGCUGCGGCUUGCACUAACGACAUGAGCUCCCCCCUCCCUAUCAACUUUCUUCAAUGGAACAUCUUGACAAAUGCUUUUUCUGGGUUUUUCAAGAAAACCGGGAAGUUCAAUUUCGAGUAAUUCACAAAUACACUGUAUCUGUAGAAUGCACUGAACCAAAAAAGCCUUGCAGUGAGAAAAAAACUGCUCAUCAGCAUGUUUUUCUACGAGCUCACUGAUAAUGCUUUAAAAAGUAAUAGUUCCAAAACAAAAUUUUGUUAGUGAGACUGACUGAUCUUUCUCUUUGGAUUAAAUCUAAAUGGUCUGUUACUCGCACCUAUUCCAUUUUCAUAAAGCCUGUGCAUAUCCUUUUAAUAAAUAUCGAGACCUUUUGCUUCAGCUGAUGCAGCAAAGGCAUCCCACUCUGAAAAAGCAGGUUGAAUUAUGUCAGCCUAUCAAGGUUGUGUCCGAAGAAUUGAAGGUAUGUCAAAGUGAACUUGUUAUCAGUACCUCAUAUUAUUCAAUGGUUCUAUUUACAAAAGCUUCAUUGAGAGGCAUCUUCUCUGCUAAGGCUGUUAAAUUCUAUGUUUUUCUGUUCCGAAGAAAUCUUGAAAAUCUUUCAAGCAAUCCAUCCAAUUUGAUGAUGCAUUAAAAUGUGUAUUCUGUACUUGUCCUCAAAAAUUUUUGGCAGCGUUUUGGAAGCGUAGGAGGCACAAAGGUAAAUAGAAUAGCAGGAACAUUUGAGUUAGACCAUCAGUGAUAGUUUGCCCUUUUCCCAUCUAGAAUUCUCACUAAGUCCGCAAAUACACUUUUCAUGCUGAACAUUUGACAAAAAAAACCAACAAAUACUAAAAACCUACUACUGGCAAGUCUGGUUGGUUCAAAAUUCUAAAAAUUUGAUGCCUUUAACAAUUUAAUUAUUAAAUCGUUGUUGGACAGUCUCAAAGCUUUGAGACCUCCACAGUUAUAUUUGAAGACAUUAGUUUCAAGUAUUGUUGAAAACAUUGUGAUUAAUUUAGAAAUUUGUUUAAAUUGCAACCAACUAAAAAGUAAGAAAAAAACAGAAACAUUUUGGGCAUUAUUCAUUUUCUCCAUUGUUUCCCACCUUUGAGGCAUUCAUAUUCUUGCUACAGCUAUAGAGCUAUUUUGAUUUUGGUAAGCUACAAAAAAUUAGCGAGAGCCCCGCCAAUUUAGGGGAAGAAAGGAGGUGCGCUUACUUGUUUUUGUGAAAUGAUCCACAAACGUAAUGAAAGCUCCACAUGCCAAAUUAAUGCAAGACUUGCAGAUUCAAGGUACUUAGAAUGUGGACCAAAUGUUUUCCUAUGCAUAGAUUGAUGCACCAGCAGUCACAAGAAAUGCAAUAAAUUCCACUAUUCCGAAAAAUGGCAGGAACAAUAUAUAUAAAUUUCCUUCUUGAUGGAAAUUGGUCCAGCAGUAAAAAAUAUUAUAAGCAGUGGAGGAUAAUUCAACCAUCAAUAAAAUCGACUUCAUAUUGCUUACUGUAAUAUUUUCCAUUUGUUUCAUGAAAAAGUUCAUGACUGUCAAGAAAAUAUUUUGCACAGUCAACUAACCCGACCCCCCCCCCUUGUGUUUGCUACUUUUUUUUAAUGACCACAAAGGUUAAAAAGAUUCAAAAAGGUAUUUGAUUUACCAGAGCAGUAAAUUGUAUAGAUAUUGAUAUUUUCCAUUUACAUAAUCAUUUCAGGGACAUUUGUUCCAUUAGAUCGUCCAUCAAUAUAGAUCUUUGCAUGGAUCAGCAUAAAAGCAAAAAUCAAGAAGUUUCAAAAAAAAUUUGAAAGUUGCUGAUGCUCAGUGUUAAGUUUUCAGAGAUAUUCAUUUCUUUACUAAACCCAGCAAUUCUGCACUGAAACUGAGUUGCGUAGCUUUUGUAUUUUAUCUUACCACAUCCUUUUUUAUUUACAGGUAGGCUGUUGGAUACAGUUAUGGAGUUAUGCUGCUACAAACCAAAUUUAUACUUUAUAAUGAAAUAAAGACUUCGGCAAUGAAAACCAAAAUUGCCAAGGAUGGAAUACAUACGAGGGUCACUCCAAAAUUAUUGAGAUAUUCAGUAACCGCUUGAGAUAUCAGUUUGAAAUUUUUUUGGUGGCUUGUACCAUCUAUUUCACCCAUGUUUUGUAAUUUUUGUUAAUUUCAAGCGCGGAAAAAAAAUAAAGAAGGGUUUUGAAUUUCAGCACCUUAGAUGUUCUUAUUUGUUAAAAAUGGAGCUUGAAGGAUGUGAUUUUCGCGCAAUGAUUUAUUUUGAUUUUAAAAGGGGGCUGAAACAAGAAGAAUGCCUAGCUCAGCUUCUACAGACUUUUGGAGAUAAUGCACCUUCAAGGGCAACAGUUUUUCGAUGGUUUGCCGAAUUUAAGAGAGGGAGGGAGAGCCUUAAAAAUGAGACCCACCCAGGGAAGCCCCCAACUGCUGUUGUGCCAGAAACAGUUGCUGCUGUGGAGAAGAUGCUAAGGCAAGAUGGUCGGAUGACUUAUUCUAUGAUGCAGGAUAGCUUAAAGAUUGGAUCAGCAGCAUUGCACACAAUUUUGCAUGAAAACUUGCAAGUUCGGAAAGUGGCUGACCGCUGGGUGCCACAUUGCUUGUCAGAUGAGCAAAAAGAGCAGCGAGUCAAUUGGUGCCAGCUCAAGCUGCAAAAAAUAAAUGAAGGGAAGUCGAAACGGGUUUAUGACAUUGUGACAGGCGAUGAAAGUUGGGUUUACCAAUUGGACCCGGAGACAAAGCGCCAAUCCCCAAUUUGGAUCUUUCCAGGUGAAAAUCCGCCGCAAAAAUUUUGGCGAUCCAGAAGCGUCGGCAAAAGGAUGGUUGCAUCAUUUUUCUCUAAGACGGGUCAUGUCGCAAACAUUCAAGUUGAAGACCGCCGUACAGUGAACACGGAUUGGUAUGUUAACCACUGCAUACCACAGGUUCUAGAAGUUUGGCGAAAUAAACGUCCAAGGACUGGCUUAAGAGGUCUACUUUGACAACGCUUCCGCUCACACAGCUGCUUUGACCAUCGACUUUCUGUCCGAAAAUUCAGUUCAGUUGAUGACCCACCCGCCUUAUUCACCUGAUUUGGCACCUUGUGACUUCUUCCUCUUUCCAGCGGUGAAAGAGAAAAUUCGCGGAACCAAGUUUGAUAGCGCUGAUGAUGCAGUUAGUGCCUUCAACGAGGCUGUUUCUGACUUGGCUGCGGAAAAAUGGGCCCAUUGUUUUGAUAUGUGGUUUUAUCGUAUAAGACUUUGUGUGGAAGCCAGUGGAGAGUAUUUUGAGAAACUGUGAAAAUUUGAACACGAUGCCUCUUGCGGUUUUUGAAUAUCUCAAUAAUUUUGGAGUGACCCUCGUAUUUGAAUUCAUGGAUUGGCUUGAAGGAUGCUUUUAUGAAAUUCAAGUGUAAGUGACUUCGUUUUGUGCAAGCAUAAGGCUACAGACUUAAAAAUCAAUGCAGUUUGGCCUAUUACUCGUAUAAUGGCAACUUGUUAUUUGUGUAACUUUUCCAUGUAUAUCUUUUAUAUUUCUAUCUUUUCAAUAUUUUCAAUUAGAACUGCUGAUCUGUGAGGGACAUUAAUCAUUACCACGUAGUAGCCAUAUUGUCCUGGACUUCCCCCAGGUAGCUCACUUGUAGUCUACUUUGAGAUGUUGUACAAGCGCAAAGCAAAGGCUUCUCUCCAUCUCUAAAUUUUUCAUGCAUAAUCUUGUUAGAAAGGAAAAUGGUUUACCACUUAUAAAGUUGAUUUCUCUGUGGCGAUAGUGCUUACUGACAUUUUUUGAUGAUGUCAGUUUGAUCUAAUGUAAUUUCCACAAUAUUAGAUGUCUUCUUAUCUCUUACAAAUUGAGGAAAGUCCUCUUUUUACUUCCUUUCAUUAACUAGCCUACUCACUACUUUUCCCCUCUUUUUGCACCCUUUUUUUUGUUUUUGAUCCUACAUCUCCAGAAAAACAUCUUGCUAUGUCGAGUAUUAUUGAGGAUUCUAUAUUUAUGGAGAAAAUACACAAAAGGGCCCCCAUUUAUUAAGUAUUAAUUUAUUACAAAGACAUUAACCAACUGCCUAUCACCGAGGCGAAAAUUUCAUAUCCGACCUUUCGCUAUCACAACGUUUUAUGUAAAGCAAAUGUUAGCAAUCUAAAAUGAAAGCUUAAACUAAGGUUCUCAGAUACCUCAUAACCAGAAAUCAAAGAGUGCAUGGUAAAUUUGAAAGUAUUUCCUCUUCAGUGAUUGACCAGAUUUGAGCCAUUUUGAGGAGCAUUGCUGGACAGCAUAUGAAUGCGUUCUUGAUGCAAAAAUGUUGUCAUUCACAGAUUCACAAGACAGACGCAGCAACAAAGUCUAACCCAGAUUCCCAUAUAAAUCAUACUGUGAAGACCGCAGAAAUGCACUUAUUUUGUGCUGAAGAAGAAAGACAAAUCAGCCAAGACAUUGCCAUAUCUUUAAAGAGCAAUGUGGAACACACCUUCAGUUACAGAAAAAACCAAAGAUUUUAAAGAUUUCCAAGUCAGACAAUUAAUUGAAAGACAAAUAAUGGAGGGCAGCAUUCAAAUAGAUGAAGCUAGAUCAGUGCUUGCUGAUCAACAUUUUAUUGAAAAGGAUGUAAAUGUUAUAUAUGAUCGACUGCUGUGCAUCAUUAGAAAAGAGAGUACUUGUGAUGAAGCAACAAAGUUACCAGAUGUAAUUAAAAUGGAUGAAGAAAAUCUCAGUCAGUCAUGAAUGCAGCUGUGUCAAUAGUGAUGACAACGGACUGCACACUGCAAGGACUGAGCAGAGAAGCAUUACUACUGAAGACGGUGAAGAGAUCCAUAACAACAUAGAAAUAAACAUCAAAUAAACAUGAAGGAUGCAAGAUUUUAGAAAAAUUAGACACGGCAGUAAAAAGUGAUGAAAAUAAAGUACCAAUAGAUUUAAAAGUUGUCAUUUAAUCUAGAUGUAAAGGUACUGCAAGAUUCAGUUUACAAAUGAUGGGUUUGUUUUAAUUUUUGAAACUUGAAAACACGCAUAAGCUGUUACUAUUCCAGUUUAAUGCACCAUCCAUUGCAUUUGAUAAUGGCUGUUUUUAUGUUACUUCUUGCAAGUUUUCAUAAACUUUUUGGUGAUCAGAUUUCUAGAAUUGUUGCAAUGGUCAUUUUUAUUACAGAAAAUGAUUUAAUACCACCCUGAAAAUGCAGUAAAUAGUUACAUUCUCAGUAGUAUGGGCUUUUUUCAAGAAAGGAAGCUAUGAAAUGUUUGACUUGAACAGGUAAAAUAUCAUUGACUUUUCAUGCAGGAGAAUUCAUUCUUCUUCUAAUUGCGUGGUGGAAGCAGUUCUGCAUGUGUUUGCAGACAUGGUAAUUGUAGGCUUCAAGGGACUUGAACGCUUUCAUAGCUUUAUUGGUAAACUCGUUGGAUGAAUCGAUCAAGUAUUGAGUUACCUAACUCCACAAAGAAUUCAGCAAGUUUGAUAUAUCAUUAGUUUUUCCCUGUUCCAGCAAAAACAGGUCAGGAAGCAUUGUGCCGUUGGUGAACAAUGAAUUCGCAGAAGAAUGCUUUUAAGCUGUUAGUCCAAGAAUGUAGUCUUGAAGCUUUUCCUCAAAAGCUAUUUUAGAUUUUACCAGUAUACAGAGACACUUUCAUAUUGUAGCUAGGUCAUGUGUUAACACAUAUGGCGACCUGUAAAAGCCCAUUUCCACUUUUUUUGCAAUUUGCAAAAUCACAUGCGAUUUUGUAGGCACAAACCCUCUGCCCCCACAUGAAGUGAGUGAUCAUUCCAAGAGUGAGUGUGUGAAAGUGUCAACAAUCACUUCACUUAUCAAAAACCUUGUGGUUUUUGGAAAGAGAAAGAAGAAAACAAGUGAUGAUGUUGAUCAUGCAAUUCUGGAAGAAUUAAGAGAGACAUCACAGUCAACACCAUCAAAAAGAGAUGAAGACAGCCUAGUUAUGAAGAGACUCGUCCCUCAAUUAAAACGUUUAGAGUUCAAACAAAAGGCACGUGUAAAAUGCCAAAUGCCAAAUUCCUCUACAGCAAAUUUUAUUUAAAGCUGAGUGUUGAUGCCCGAAUAUUUAAGUAAAGUUUCUGGUUAAUAUCCUUGGCAUAAAAAAGUAUUGUUGUUGUAUUAUAUUUUGUUUUUAUGCGAAAAUCUCAGAUUACCACUUAGCAUUUCUAGUACGGAACUUACAAAAAUACAACCUACAGACAGUUUUUAGGCCCUGCAUGCACCAAACAAAAUUUCAGGAAAAACUUCUGGCACACUUAAUCUCUAUUGUUCAUAGAGAUAGCGGAUUAAGCUUGUUUGUAAACAAAUGCUGAUUUUCCAAUGCGGCCACCCAAGUUGCCACUGAAGAAAAUUUACUGAAGCUUGGUUUCCACUAUGAGUUAACAUGAGUUAAUUUGAGAUAAUUUUGUGAUCUGACAUGGUUUAAAAAUUAUCUCAUAGUGGCAACAGUCAUUAAAAAUUAUCUCAUGAAAAUUAACUUGUGUUAACUCACGUUAUCUCAUGAGCUUGGAAACAAAUUUUUGUAAUUUCAAGCUCAUGAGUUAACUUGAUAACAUUUAAUCAAAAGAAGCUGAUGCGCGGUAGAGGAAUAUGCUAUAACUUGCACUGAGGUUCUCACGCAAUGCACUUGCACUGAGUAUUACUUUAGAUGUUGAGAACAGUUUUCCUUACUCAAAAACAUUUAAUUGUGAAAUAAGAGAAACAUUUUCUCAUUUCUAAGAUCCUGUUGCAAGUGGUCGUAUUCACCAAAUGCAUAUCUUUUUUGGUAGACUUUCCGUACCGAAAACCUUGGUAGACUUUUCAAUCGGCAGUUCUAGCAAAUAAAAUAAUUUCCUUCUAAAUAUUCUCAAAAGCAGAAGUAAAAUAAGUUACAAUACCCUAAGCCAUAUCAUUCUUUGUUUAAACAACUUCACAUUGACUAAACAGCAAACAACUAUUUUACACACCAACUGCAGAUUCGUUGCCAAAAUAUUUGGUGAACUUACAUUUCCGAUAAUCUUAAAUCACAUUUUAUGAUGUGCAGCAGUGUAUUUACAGUAUACUAAGUUUCACUCCUGUUAUAAAAAUGAUAGUCAACGAAUCCCUAUGCCCCAAUAAAUUAUUCACCAGUUUUUUCAGCUCUCAUUAGUAGACCAGUUUUUGAAAAUAGUUUCCUUCUAAAGCCAGGGUAUUCAUUGCCAAAUUUCUCCCAAGCUUCUCCUAACCAUUUUGUGAUCAGUAUCCUUCUUUCGGAAGCUGUAAUAUUUAAUUGCUAUUUCUCUAGGUUAUAAUCUUCUUCAAGAAAAACAUCCAUCGGCUCCCCAUUAAUACUUUGAUUUAAUAACCUUCCCCUGGUUGGCAUUUUUCUGUCUCCUGUGGAAGUAGUGGAUACACAACAAUAUUAGCUAUAGAUUGGCAAGCUCUAUGAAAUUCUCAAGUCAUUUGAAAGAUGAAAAAGGUCAAGCAUUCACCAAUAUCAUAAAAGAAUGAACAGAAAAGAAUUUUGUAUGCACAGUCAAGACCAACAAGAAAUACAUUAUCAUACUGAGAAAGAGCUCAGCCCCAUGCCAUCGAAAUGGAGGUUUUCUGCCAAAUUCUAGAUGUAAAGGUACUGCAAGAUUCAGUUUACAAGUGAUGGGUUUGUUUUAAUUUUUGAAAAUUGAAAACACGCAUAAGCUGUUUCUAUUCCAGUUCAAUGCAACAUCCAUUGCAUUUGAUAAUGGCUGUUUUUAUGUUACUUCUUGCAAGUUUUCAUAAACUUUUUGGUGAUCAGAUUUCAAGAAUUGUUGCAAUGUUCAUUUUUAUUACAGAAAAUGAUUUAAUACCACCCUGAAAAUGCAGUAAAUAGUUACAUUCUCAGUAGUAUGGGCUUUUUUCAAGAAAGGAAGCUAUGAAAUGUUUGACUUGAACAGGUAAAAUAUCAUUGACUUUUCAUGUAGGAGAAUUCAUUCUUCUUCUAAUUGCGUGGUGGAAGCAGUUCUGCAUGUGUUUGCAGACAUGGUAAUUGUAGGCUUCAAGGGACUUGAACGCUUUCAUAGCUUUAUUGGUAAACUCGUUGGAUGAAUCGAUCAAGUAUUGAGUUACCUAACUCCACAAAGAAUUCAGCAAGUUUGAUAUAUCAUUAGUUUUUCCCUGUUCCAGCAAAACAGGUCAGGAAGCAUUGUGCCGUUGGUGAACAAUGAAUUCGCAGAAGAAUGCUUUUAAGCUGUUAGUCCAAGAAUGUAGUCUUGAAGCUUUUCCUCAAAAGCCAUUUUAGAUUUUACCAGUAUACAGAGACACUUUCAUAUUGUAGCUAGGUCAUGUGUUAACACAUAUGGCGACCUGUAAAAGCCCAUUUCCACUUUUUUUGCAAUUUGCAAAAUCACAUGCGAUUUUGUAGGCACAAACCCUCUGCCCCCACAUGAAGUGAGUGAUCAUUCCAAGAGUGAGUGUGUGAAAGUGUCAACAAUCACUUCACUUAUCAAAAACCUUGUGGUUUUUGGAAAGAGAAAGAAGAAAACAAGUGAUGAUGUUGAUCAUGCAAUUCUGGAAGAAUUAAGAGAGACAUCACAGUCAACACCAUCAAAAAGAGAUGAAGACAGCCUAGUUAUGAAGAGACUCGUCCCUCAAUUAAAACGUUUAGAGUUCAAACAAAAGGCACGUGUAAAAUGCCAAAUGCCAAAUUCCUCUACAGCAAAUUUUAUUUAAAGCUGAGUGUUGAUGCCCGAAUAUUUAAGUAAAGUUUCUGGUUAAUAUCCUUGGCAUAAAAAAGUAUUGUUGUUGUAUUAUAUUUUGUUUUUAUGCGAAAAUCUCAGAUUACCACUUAGCAUUUCUAGUACGGAACUUACAAAAAUACAACCUACAGACAGUUUUUAGGCCCUGCAUGCACCAAACAAAAUUUCAGGAAAAACUUCUGGCACACUUAAUCUCUAUUGUUCAUAGAGAUAGCGGAUUAAGCUUGUUUGUAAACAAAUGCUGAUUUUCCAAUGCGGCCACCCAAGUUGCCACUGAAGAAAAUUUACUGAAGCUUGGUUUCCACUAUGAGUUAACAUGAGUUAAUUUGAGAUAAUUUUGUGAUCUGACAUGGUUUAAAAAUUAUCUCAUAGUGGCAACAGUCAUUAAAAAUUAUCUCAUGAAAAUUAACUUGUGUUAACUCACGUUAUCUCAUGAGCUUGGAAACAAAUUUUUGUAAUUUCAAGCUCAUGAGUUAACUUGAUAACAUUUAAUCAAAAGAAGCUGAUGCGCGGUAGAGGAAUAUGCUAUAACUUGCACUGAGGUUCUCACGCAAUGCACUUGCACUGAGUAUUACUUUAGAUGUUGAGAACAGUUUUCCUUACUCAAAAAUAUUUAAUUGUGAAAUAAGAGAAACAUUUUCUCAUUUCUAAGAUCCUGUUGCAAGUGGUCGUAUUCACCAAAUGCAUAUCUUUUUUGGUAGACUUUCCGUACCGAAAACCUUGGUAGACUUUUCAAUCGGCAGUUCUAGCAAAUAAAAUAAUUUCCUUCUAAAUAUUCUCAAAAGCAGAAGUAAAAUAAGUUACAAUACCCUAAGCCAUAUCAUUCUUUGUUUAAACAACUUCACAUUGACUAAACAGCAAACAACUAUUUUACACACAAACUGCAGAUUCGUUGCCAAAAUAUUUGGUGAACUUACAUUUCCGAUAAUCUUAAAUCACAUUUUAUGAUGUGCAGCAGUGUAUUUACAGUAUACUAAGUUUCACUCCUGUUAUAAAAAUGAUAGUCAACGAAUCCCUAUGCCCCAAUAAAUUAUUCACCAGUUUUUUCAGCUCUCAUUAGUAGACCAGUUUUUGAAAAUAGUUUCCUUCUAAAGCCAGGGUAUUCAUUGCCAAAUUUCUCCCAAGCUUCUCCUAACCAUUUUGUGAUCAGUAUCCUUCUUUCGGAAGCUGUAAUAUUUAAUUGCUAUUUCUCUAAGUUAUAAUCUUCUUCAAGAAAAACAUCCAUCGGCUCCCCAUUAAUACUUUGAUUUAAUAACCUUCCCCUGGUUGGCAUUUUUCUGUCUCCUGUGGAAGUAGUGGAUACACAACAAUAUUAGCUAUAGAUUGGCAAGCUCUAUGAAAUUCUCAAGUCAUUUGAAAGAUGAAAAAGGUCAAGCAUUCACCAAUAUCAUAAAAGAAUGAACAGAAAAGAAUUUUGUAUGCACAGUCAAGACCAACAAGAAAUACAUUAUCAUACUGAGAAAGAGCUCAGCCCCAUGCCAUCGAAAUGGAGGUUUUCUGCCAAAUUCUAGAUGUAAAGGUACUGCAAGAUUCAGUUUACAAGUGAUGGGUUUGUUUUAAUUUUUGAAAAUUGAAAACACGCAUAAGCUGUUUCUAUUCCAGUUCAAUGCAACAUCCAUUGCAUUUGAUAAUGGCUGUUUUUAUGUUACUUCUUGCAAGUUUUCAUAAACUUUUUGGUGAUCAGAUUUCUAGAAUUGUUGCAAUGUUCAUUUUUAUUACAGAAAAUGAUUAAAUACCACCCUGAAAAUGCACAGAUUAUAAAAUAGUUACAUUCUCAGUAGUAUGGGCUUUUUUCAAGAAAGGAAACUAUGAAAUGUUUGACUUGAACAGGUAAAAUAUCAUUGACUUUUCAUGUAGGAGAAUUCAUUCUUCUUCUACAUUGCGUGGUGGAAGCAAUUUUGCAUGUGUUUGCAGACAUGGUAAUUGUAGGCUUCAAGGGACUUGAACGCUUUCAUAGCUUUAUUGGUAAACUCGUUUGAUAAAUCGAUCAAGUAUUGAGUUACCUAACUCCACAAAGAAUUCAGCAAGUUUGAUAUAUCAUUAGUUUUUCCCUGUUCCAGCAAAAACAGGUCGGGAAGCAUUGUGCCGUUGGUGAACAAUGAAUUCGCAGAAGAAUGCUUUUAAGCUGUUAGUCCAAGAAUGUAGUCUUGAAGCUUUUCCUCAAAAGCCAUUUUAGAUUUAAUACAGAGACACUUUCAUAUUGUAGCUAGGUCAUGUGUUAACACAUAUGGCGACCUGUAAAAGCCCAUUUCCACUUUUUUUGCAAUUUGCAAAAUCACAUGCGAUUUUGUAGGCACAAACCCUUUGCCCCCACAUGAAGCGAGUGAUCAUUCCAAGAGUGAGUGUGUGAAAGUGUCAACAAUCACUUCACUUAUCAAAAACCUUGUGGUUUUUGGAAAGAGAAAGAAGAAAACAAGUGAUGAUGUUGAUCAUGCAAUUCUGGAAGAAUUAAGAGAGACAUCACAGUCAACACCAUCAAAAAGAGAUGAAGACAGCCUAGUUAUGAAGAGACUCGUCCCUCAAUUGAAACGUUUAGAGUUCAAACAAAAGGCACGUGUAAAAUGCCAAAUUCCUCUACAGCAAAUUUUAUUUAAAGCUGAGUGUUGAUGCCCGAAUAUUUAAGUAAAGUUUCUGGUUAAUAUCCUUGGCAUAAAAAAGUAUUGUUGUUGUAUUAUAUUUUGUUUUUAUGCGAAAAUCUCAGAUUACCACUUAGCAUUUCUUGUACAGAACUUACAAAAUACAACCUACACACAGCUUUUCUUAGGCCAUGGAUGCACCAAACAAAAUUUCAGGAAAAACUUCUGGCACACUUAGGCUUGUUUUUAAACAAAUGCUGAUUUUCCAAUGCGGCCACCCAAGUUUCCGCUUAAGCAAAUUCACUAAAGCUUGUUUUCCACUAUGAGUUAACAUGAGUUAAUUUGAGAUAAUUUUGUGAUCUGACAUGGUUUAAAAAUUAUUUCAUAGUGGCAACAGUCAUUAAAAAUUAUCUCAUGAAAAUUAACUUGUGUUAACUCACGUUAUCUCAUGAGCUUGGAAACAAAUUUUUGUAAUUUCAAGCUCAUGAGUUAGCUUGAUAACAUUUUAUCAAGAAAAUGAAUGGUAGAGGAAUAUGCUAUAAUUUGCACUGAAGUUCUCACGCAACACACUUGCACUGAGUAUUACUUUAGAUGUUGAGAACAGUUUUCUUUACUCAAAAUUUGUGAAAUAAGAGAAACAUUUUCUCAUUUCUAAGAUCCUGUUGCAAGUGGUCGUAUUCACCAAAUGCAUAUCUUUUUUGGUAGACUUUCCGUACCAAAAACCUUGGCGCAGAUCGGGAAUGGCACUUCUAGCAAAAAAAAUAUUUUCCUUCUAAAUAUUCUCAAAAGCAGAAGUAAAAUAAUUUGUUCUUGUAAGACGCCUGCUGUAGCUGCAAGACUCAAAUAAAAUGUGAUUUCUGAAAUUUCCAUACUUAAUUCUAUCUCAAGUGGAAACCAAAUCAGUACGUGGGUUAAUUUUGAGCUAGGUCGCGUUAUCUCACAUUAUUUCACACUAUCUCAAGUUAACUUGAAUUUAGACCAUGAGUUAAUUUUCAAUUUUACUCAGAAUUAUUUCACGUUAACUCAGAGUUGAAACCAAGCUUAAGCCCUCAAAGGUUCUGUCAUCCUGCUGCAGAGCAGGACAAACUCUUAAAAAUGGAAAUGAUUAGCAAUCAACGCAUUUUUCUGGCACCGCACAAUACCUCCAAGCCAUUCUUUGUUUAAACAACUUCACAUUGACUAAACAGCAAACAACUAUUUUACAUACCAACUGCAGAUUCGUUGCCAAAAUAUUUGGUGAACUUACAUUUCUGAUAAUCUUAAAUUACAGUUUAGGAUGUGCAGCAGUGUAUUUACAGUAUACUGAGUUUCACUCCUGUUAUAAAAAUGAUAGUCAACGAAUCCCUCUGCUCCAAUAAAUUCUUCAUCAGUUUUUUCAGCUCUCAUUAGUAGACCAGUUUUUGAAAAUAGUUUCCUUUUAAAGCCAAGGUAUUUUUGCCAAGUUUCUCCUAAGCUUCUCCUAACCAUUUUGUGAUCAGUAUCCUUCUUUCGGAAGCUGUAAUAUUGAAUUGCCAUUUCUCUAAUUCAUAAUCUUUUUCAAGAAAAACAUCCAUCUGCUCCCCUAUUAAUACUUUGAUUUAAUAACCUUCCCCCUGGUCUACUGGUUGGCAUUUUUCUGUCUCCUAUGGAGGUAGUGGAUACACAACAGUAUUAGCUAUAGAUUGGCAAGCUCUAUAAAAUUCUCAAGUCAUUUGAAAGAUGAAAAAGGUCAAGCAUUCACCAAUAUCAUAAAAGAAUGAACAGAAAAGAAUUUUGUAUGCACAGUCAAGACCAACAAGAAAGACAUUAUCAUACUGAGAAAGAGCUCUGUUUCAGCCCUAUGCCGUCGAAAUGAAGGUUUUGUGGCAAAUUUGAUGCUUACAAUGUUUGAACCAGAGAUCAACCAAAAUCCCGUGAUGGGCUUAAGGCUACUGUGACACUUGUUUCUUGGAAGAGAGGGACAGCUCAGAAAGUAUAGAAAAUUCUACCGACCAGUAUAUUCACCUUAAAAACAGAACUGCAUUAGGACGAGGGCAGCAAAUAAAGUCUGACAUGCCAAUAUAAAUCAACUCUAAUGGCUUACAGGGCAAUAUUAAUUUGGAGACAACUGAUGAACAAGUUUGUCAUCAUGAAAAGGGGGGAAGAACUUUGUCCCAAAUGUAAGACUUGGCUCAUUAUCUAAAGACGAGAAGACCGCUGUAUUAAACAUGCUUAAAGAAGAGGCUGAAUCAUUUGCCAAAGAAAACUCAGAGAUAGGCAUUGCAGAGGGCCUAGAAAAGGAAAUAAACUUGAAUGACACAAAACCAGUAUAAUAGAAUUAUAUAGCAGUUCCUAGGCCGUUAUAUUGCGAGGGUAAAGCAUAUAUCGAGGAUCUAUUCAACAAAAAGUUAAUCAGAGAUUGCAAGUCAACUUGGUCUUCACCAUUAAUAUGUGUGAGGAAGAAAUAUGGAGCCCUCCCCCUGUGUGUGGACUAUCGUGGUUUGAACAGGAAAACUAUCAAAGACCGCCAGCCACUGUCACAAAUUCAAGAGACAUUAUAUAACCUUGGUGGUUGCCAAUGGUUCACUGUCCUGGACCAGGAAAAGGCCUACCAACAAGGGUUUGCCAAGCCAGACCUUCGCAAUCUUCACAAGCCUUGAGCUAUAUUCUCAAUCAACGUUUUAUUCACACCAUCCACUGAUUGAAGUCCGUUUUCAAGCUGGGGCUGUUAUGAUUUUGAACAAUGCUUUUGCAGUGUGUCAGUCUGAUAAUGCUCUGUAUGCAAUUUUAAUAAAUGUUGUUGCUUAGUUGUAUUUACUAAUUUAAAUCAAUCUUAAUAAGCUAAGCUGACUUGUUUCUCUAAGGUAAAGUGAAAAACCGAAGAGAAACUCUCCAUGUGUGUCUCUGUGAAAACUUCAUAACCAACUCAAUUAAAAAAUAGCUUUGUACAAACUAAAAAGUUGAUAAUAGAGAGUUAUUGAAUUUAAUAGAAAAGGAAGAGAAAAGAGGCAGAUGAAAACAAUAGGGCUAAAGAAUUACUGCGUAAUUUCCAAACACAAGGUGUUCUCUGUUAUUGUUUUGCGAGUUUGUUUGUAUUGCGGGUUUUGUGAGUUCACUACACAAUGAAUGAUGGAGACAAACGAUCAGCGGUUAUUGCUAAAUUUAACAAGCAAAGAAGCAAAAGCAGACAACUCUAGAUUUUUUGCUUUCAACAAAGAAAGAUUGCAUCCCAUCUUUGAUUUGCCAUCCGCUGUCACAAGCACAUUUGAAAAUGGCUUUGAAAAAAGCAAACAUUUUACAACAUACUUAAAGCUUUUUCGUCUGACACUCCUCAGAGCAUAAAACGUCAGAAUAGGUUCCGAAAAAACACAAUGGAAAAAUAUAUACCCAGUUGUGGAUCGAAAUAGUUUUAUGCUCUGAGGAGUGUCAGACGAAAAAGCUUUAAGUAUGUUGUAAAAUGUUUGUUUUUUUCAAAGCCAUUUUCAAACUCUGUUCCGCAAAAAAAUUGUUCACAAGCACAUUUGCACCAAGAGAUGCUUUGCCACCUAUACAUAGCCCUUCUUCCAAACAUACUACUCCAGUUUUAAAGUCCUCCUCUCUGACUAAAGAAUGCAAAACCAAAUCUCGUUUUCCAAAUGACAUUGGAAACUUUCUUGAAAAGGCCUCUGCUCUCACUGAAGAUACAAAGUUUGACCUGCUUUGCAAUGUUUGGAGGCGGGUCAUAAUUUUCCUCUUGACAAAAGAAAUAGAAGAUUACAAUAUUGUUGGUUUUCUGAAUUACCCUGGCUUGUCUAUUCUGAAGUCCUAGAUGGAGCAUUUUGCUUAAUGUGUUUUCUCUUUGGUGGCGAAAGUACACACAACUCUUCAAAGUUUAAGAACUAAUUUUGGACGUCCCUAAACACUUGGUCCUCUGUAUUGCAGAAGUUAGGUGAGCAUGUAGAGAAGUCAGAAGUUCAUACUACAGCUACUUCGAGAUCUGCUCAGUUUAAUUUGGUUAUGCAGCAAAAAAGGCUACAUCUGCAGAUCUCCUUCUGAAUAAGGCCAAGCGGGAACAAAUUGAGUGAAAGAAGCAAUGCCUUGGGCCAUUCGUUGAUUUUGUGAUGUUGUCUGGGAGGCAAAAUAUGGCUCUAAGGGCCCAUAGAGAUGAUUCAUCAUAUUAUGAGGAGGAAAGUGUAAAUCCCGGCAACUUUCAAGAAGUUCUGAAGUAUUGGGCCAGGUGUGGUGAAAAGAUGCUUGCGAAUUUAGAAAGUGCCCCUAAAAAUGCAACAUAUCGCUCAAAAACCACACAGAAUGAGAUAAUUACCAUCUGCAGGGAAAUGAUAUCAGAGGUCAUUCUGAGCGACGUAAAAGAGGCUAAAUUUUUUUCUAUCUUAGCUGAUGAGGCCACAAAUUGCUCACAUGUCGAGCAGUAUGUCUGUUGUUUUUUUGUUUGUCAACCAAAAUUGAUCCAUUCGAGAGGAGUUUAUUGGAUUUAUUCCAUGUCAGCAAGGCCUCUCUGGGGAAGCGAUUUCAAAUAAUUUGUUGCAUGCGGUCGUAAGCUUUGGUCUUUUCAUGGAUCACUGCCGGGGCCAAGGUUACGAUGGUGCCGGUAAUAUGGCAGACAGAAUUUCCGGUGCUGCUGCUCGUAUUCAGUCACUCUUCAACAAUGCUGUCUAUGGCCACUGUAGCUCACACAUACUAAAUCUUUGUUGUUCCUCAUGUCAGAUUCAGUAAGUCAAAAACAUGAUGGAUAAGGUUCGGGUAGCAUCAGAGAAUUGUUUCCAAAUUCGCAUCAUACCCACUUGAUUAAUGUGUGUUGAACAAGGUGGCUACCACCUAUAGAUGGCUUAGAUAUAAUGAUAGAGUUAUAUCUAGCUAUUGUUGCCACUCUUGAAAUAAUUGAGGAGACUGUUGAGAAAACUUGGAAUGCUGAUUCAACUGACAAGGCUGUGAACAUAUUUCACUGUAUAGUGACUUUCGAGUUCGUUAUGGCGCUUGUUAUUGUCUGCCGCUGGCUUGAAAUCACAAGGCAUCUUACAAAGCAGCUCUAGACUGCCUCUUAUGAUGCUGGUGCUGUUAGGGAAAAAAUCUCGUUUCUUUAUGUUAUGCUUCAGAAAAUGCGGUGUAAUGUUGAUGCCAAGCAGUAGGAGGCAGUUAGCAUUAUAAGUUCUUGUGACAUCACAUCAGGCAAAAAGUUUGAGCCUAUAGCAGACAAAUGAAGACGACAAGUCCAUCGAGAAAAUAUUCCUUCCAAUUCUCUUGCAGAAUAUUAUCGUAGAGGCAUCUCUGUACCCUUUCUGGACCAUCUUAUCAGCCAUCCCAAUGUAUGCUUCACCCGUUCAAAUCUCGAUGUUAUGGAUACACUCUAUGAUAUGUCAUGUAUCGCAUUCAGAUUGGCAAACAGGGUUCCACCGGUUUCUUGAUAAAUACAAAGAGAAUCUUCCUGAGCCUCAGUAUCUUUCCAAGGAGAUGUUGGAAGAGAAUUGUAAUCAUCUUGCUUGUACACCACCAAAAACCGUACAAGAGUUGUUAAAUUUCAUCAACCCAUUCACUUUUCCCAAUGUAAUUGUGGCAUUUAGAAAUUUUGGAACUAUCCCAGUUAUUGCUUGUUCUUGUGAACGUUCUAUCUCGACACUGAAGAGAUUGAGAACAUACCUUAGAAACCCUAUGUCAGAAACAGGCUUGGGUGUUAGAAACCCUAUGUUCAUCGCGAUGUAAGACUUGACGUCAUUGAUGUCAUUGAACCUUUUGCAUGAAAGGGUAAUGGAAAGAUAUUGUUAUUGGACAACUAACUUGUGCUUAUGUGACAUUGAUCUUUUGAAAACAAUAUCCUAUUGAUUAGCUGACGUUGCUUGUUUUGUUCUGUUUCUCAUUGUUGUAUAUUUUAGUCACUUCCAUAUCUUCAACUGCCUUCUAACCAGUUUUAGGAUUCUUGAAAUUUAUUCUCCAUUCAGAUUUCUGCGUUGUUGUUGAGGUGUCAUGUUUGUUUGGUUAACAUUUAUUACCUUUGUAUGACAGGACACACCAAUGUAUAAAAAAAGAACUAGGCCUGCUAUUAAAAUAGGUUAGGUGAUUAAAACAUGUUCCAUGGCUGAUAGGAUGAAAUGUCUGGUUAAAGGGGUUUUGAUAUUAUUUAUCUUUUAGUUUCUUUUCGAGUCAUUAGAGGACCGCCAUGAAAAGCACCUCUUGAUAAUUAGGGCAUAUAUAUUUUUCUCUUAAAUUUGCUUCAGUUAAAACUCAACCUAUAUUUAUGGGUGUGACCAAAGACGAGCAUAAAAUUGCCACGGCCUGUCUUUCAUUUUGCAGUGGCCAUGCCACUGUCAGAUUUGUAGCUAGAUCGACCCCUGGAUUAUAAGGAUACAAAAUCGUAAUAAAUCCAUAAUUGAAUCAUAGUUGAAUCCCUGGUUAGAAAUGCCAGCGAACUUAAAAAAGGAUUUCUAUUGUUCUGUUUUUGAUGUUGAGUAUAAGAGUUUGCAAAGGUCGCGUGAUAGUGCACAACAUUGCGAUAAUGACUACGUUGAAUGAUGUGCUUUGGUUAUAAUAAUGAGACGAUUUUGAUGCAAUAGUGGAUGCAGUUGAAGAGAACGGAAGAUUAGAAGAUACUCUUGAAGAAGCAAUUUAUAAAGUAUGCUAUUUUUGCAUCCAUUCUUUAAGAAAUAUAAAUUUUGCUAAAGAAACUUCGAGUUCAUAAUUCCCUCUUGGCCUACGUAGAGUAGAUUCUUAUUCCAGCCUACCUUGAUUCGAUUGUAAUUGAUAAGAAAGCAUAAUAUUUGAACAAAUCGAUUUAAUACAAUGUUUUAUUUUAUAACGAUGAGUGAGAGCUUUAAUAAUAAACACAACCACAAAGCACAAUUUAAUAUGAUGGAUUAUGUUAUUAUGACGUGAGAAAUCUUUAAUAACAUCCACAACUUCAUUGUUGACAGUCACCAUUACAGUCAAUAAAAUUGAUACCGGUUUAUCAUAUUUGUUCCUACCCUUGGUCCGUUUAGCAAUUAUCUUAUCGAUUUAUCAGUAUACAUUUGCUUACAAUUUUUACUUUUCAUCAGAUAAAAACUGGGAAUUACACCUGUGAUAUUUGCAAAAAAGUCUGCAAAAGUAGGCGUGGAUUAGAGAGGCACACAAAAAGCCACAAAAAUACUGUUGAAAGAAGCCCUCUGGAUAUUCCCUGUUAAACAAUAUUAUGUGUGAGGAAAAGUUGAAGUUUUUUAGCAAUGGAUGCUACUCAGAAGGUCAUAGAAAAGAGCUUGAGGCAGUUGACCAGAUUCCGAAUUAAGAACUACUCAGUGCAUUUGCGGACCAUUUUAACAAUUUAAUGAAAAAUGGUAAUGCAGAAAAGUUUUAUUCCCAGACUUGUGCAAAUAUUGCAUUCAAUUGAAAUAAGUUUCUCCCUGACGUUUUUCCACUUGUACCAUUAAGAAAAUCUAAAUGUGCCAAACAACUUUCCAUCCACUUGGCAACAAGGGUCUCUGGUCGGAAUUGGAUUGUCACCUCUUCUUUGUGCAAAAAUGUGCCAAAAGUUCUGAGAGCCUCAAAAUCUCAGUUUUUUGCAAAUAACUUUUUUCACAGACGUGGUACCCCCCAACAUACCCAUAUAAAUCAAAAGUACUCGUCAAGGCGCAUCGAUUGAUGGUAUGGUUGUUCCAGAAAAAGUUGAAAAUAAGGUGCCAUUUUGGCACAAAGUUUAAAAUGUGCCAUUUUUGGACGUUUUUGCCCAUAUCUCUGCUUGUAUAGAUGGUACCUUGGCUUGCAAUAGCUCAUAAGAAAGAACGUCUCUAGACGGUCAGUUUUGGGUUCAGUAUUUGGGCGUGGCUGUGACGUCAGAGCUACGUCACAAUGACGAAUUCAGGCCCAUUUUCAAAAAUUCAUUUCUCUUCUGUGAAACAAGUGUUAGUGUGGGUAAUAUGUGUAAAAGAUCGGUAAAUUAGGCUUCUUUGAUGGUGCAGUCAGUAUUUUACAGUACCUGUCACAGUUGGCCUAGAAUUGGCACAUUUGUAAUGGUAUGUAUUUGAAAAACGUUUAGGCCCAAAACUUUCGGCAUACAUGAGGUACCUCCGAUAUUAUUGCAGCAAACGAAAGAUCUCGUCGAGACAAAUCGAUUGGUGGUAUUGGGUAAGGGGUAUCACCUAGUAAUGACGUCGCUAUGACCGGUUGAAGUUCUGGGACAUUUCUGUAUUGGUGUAAUUGUUCUGACUAGGCCCGAUCCCCGUUUUGUGUUGUGACUUUUCAAGCUUUAUUUCCAUAACUCGGCAACUAUACAGAGUAAAUUAGGGGCCAAGGGCUCAUUUUCAAGGGUUUUACAAAUGUAAUCUGCUGGUAUGGAUAUUUUCAGGAUUGGGUGUGGCUGUGAUGUCAUUGUGACGUCAUGGUUUUAAUUUUAUUAAGAGAAAUUAAAAAUUAAAUGUUUUACAUCAAAAUUUAUUGAAUCAGAUGAAAGAUCUCAUUGAUGCGAUUCGAAUGGUGGUAUUGGUUAUGGUGUAGCGAUAAAGGUUUAAUUUUUUACCCUUUGAAAUGUUCAAACCUUCACAAAUUAUCAUGUUGCUGUCUGCCCAGUCGUCGGCCUGUCACUGUUUCUCAUUUAUCUUAUUGGUUGAGAAAGGAACAAUCAAAUCGAACCGUUCUUUGUUCAUUUUUUUAAAACUUCAUUUUUAAACAAUGUAAUGGAAAUUUCUUUUGUUCAUAUCGAUUGUAUGCAAAUGAUCGAACGUUUAUGGCGAGUCAGUUUAUAGAACUAAUUUGCAUAACAAUUUCAAUGCUAUGGUUCAUUGUGGUUCAUUUAGUUCUGAGGCAUGCCGCGAUCAGGAAGAUGCUUGUGCGAUCUUUAGAAAUUUACAUGAAUUGGUUAUCAUGUAAUACUGGAAAUACUUAAUUGAAUUGUUGAUCAAUUGAAUGUGAGCCGUUGAUCUGUUUGCUGAUAGGAUUUUAUAUCAUUCGCAGAUGGAUCGGUAGAACUAUCGGGGGUUGUUGAGACCUCGUGGCGUGGUUGGAUUGCUUCGGCAUCCAGUUACUGAUGUUCGGAUCAAUCCAGACGCUGAUGUCUACAGGCGGAUUUAUUUGCUGAAAUGUUUUCAAGGAUAGGACUUCCUCCGUUAUUUACCAAGAAAAUGUACCUACUUUAAAAAAUAGAAGAAUUCAUGUGCUGUUCGUGUGCGAC